This 2347-nucleotide long non-coding RNA is filed under the name Mus musculus (house mouse). RNAcentral's name for it is "long non-coding RNA chr4:57785664-57788011". The record is from RNAcentral. Lineage: Eukaryota; Metazoa; Chordata; Mammalia; Rodentia; Muridae.
GAAUUGUCUUUUAUACAUGAAGAGUGAUUUUGUUUUAUUUUAGAAUUUUGAGAUAGAAUCUUGGAAGCCUUCCCUGGGUCACUGGAGUCCUGGCAUUACAGAAUUUUUUGUUUUGUUUUGUUUUAUUGUUUUUUAAGGUGCCAGUAACUGUCCUGUCUCUCAUUCACUUCCCUCGUUUGCACUGAUAGAGAAGAUGACUGUGGAGAUUUUCUGAGCCCGGUGCCUGCCUCUGGUGCCUGUCCUUUUCACUUGGUGGUGUGUGCUUUGUCUGGCGUCUUGUCCCCUCCUCUCCCACUUACUCUUCAAGUCACUGUCCUGGUGCUGGCUCUGCAUUGACUCUGACACUCACUCUCUCUCACUCUCUCUCUCUUUCUCUCUUCCUUCCUUCCUUCCUUCCUUCCUUCCUUCCUUUCUCUCUCUCUCUUCCUUCCUUCCUUCCUUUCCCUCUUUCUCUCUCUUCCUUUCUCUCUCUCUUUCUUUCUUAAUCUUUUUAUUGAUUUUUUUGUGUGAAUUUCAUACUGUGCACCCUCAUCCCACUCAUCACCCCUUCCCUUUGUAUCCACAUCUCCCCGCCCCACCCUUGCAAGUCCCCUUCCCACACGCAAAGAAAAUAAAAUAAGAUAGAAUAAACAAAAAACAAAAGUCUCUUGUCAUGGAAACUGUAGUGUGUCACACAUGUGUCAUGAAUGUGUCACGUAUGUGUCACCCUUUCUUACACAUCUUUACUUUCACUUUGAGUAGCCACAAAUCUUGAAAUCUUGGCUUUAAGUUCACUCACUGACCCACAGUGCGAUCGAUGGAUUGAUAUGCAGAUGGUGCUCUCUUUUCCAAAGGACCACAGGAGACUCAGGGAAGUAACUCCAGUGACUAAGGCCAAGAGAUCAUCAUUCCAUACGGUGACAAUUUUAAAUGGGAGUUGGAGUAAAAAUGUUUUAGGGAAAACCUGAGAAGCCUAGAUAAUGUCCGCUUUGUAGUCGACUGUGGACAGUUUUGCAGUGUGAUGUUCGCAUGGAUUGUCUUGCAGUACCUUAAUGAAGAGAAUGUAACAGAAGAAUUAAUUUAGAGUUAAUUCUUACACAUUACAAAAGACAGCUUAUUAUAAUAUAUAUUUUUUUCUUUUUUAAAAGAUUUAUUUACUUUAUGUAUAUGAAUACACUGUAGCUGUCUUCAGACACACCCGAAGGGGGCAUCAGAUCUCAUUACAGAUGGUUGUGAGCCACCAUGUGGUUGCUAGGAAUUGAACUCAGGACCUCUGGAAGAGCAGUCAGUGAGCCAUCUUUCUAGCUCUACAAUAUAUAUUUAAAUGUGUGCAUGUGCUUGUGAAUUCACGAGUAUGCAUGUGUGUGUGUGUGCACGCAUAUGAGUGCAUAUAGUUCUGUUAUUCCUAAAAUGAUAGGGAUGAGGAUUCUGGGAACCCAGAGUCCUAGCAGAGACGUGAAGAUUAGGAUCACACUCUGGGUUUUGCUUGCUUCUCUUCUUUACUUCCUCUUCUUCCUUUUCCUCUCUUCCUACUUCUCUCCUUUCUUUCUUCCUUCCUUCCUUCCUUCCUUCCUUCCUUCCUUCCUUCCUUCCUUCCUUCCUCCCUUCUUUCCCAAGAUGGAACUUCAUACUGUAGCCCAGGCUGGCUGUGAACUUGCAGACAUCUUUCUACUUAGGAGCCUGGGUACUGCAUUUCAAGGCAGGUAUGAUGAGCCUGGCGUAGACACCCAGUAUUUGAUGGUGGGGGAGAUAAGACCCAUCCCCGGCUCAGGUCUAUUGAGUCAGAAUCUGCAUUUUGACUAAAUCCUCGAGGAUUUGUAUACAAGAUGGUUGCAGGGAAGUUCUGUUUCUUUGGAUUUGGGAGAAGGCUGGGCAUGAAAACUGUCCAGACCUUAGGACUCGACUGGACCUGAAAAAUGAGCCUAUCUCAUUGAGGCUGGGAGAGUGGAUGCAGACCAGAGUGCCCAUCCUGCUGUGCUCCAGACAGCCUCCUCACCCUAGCAGCAGAGAACAAUGCUGCCCCACAGGUCAAUAACAACUAUGUUAAGAAACCUUGGCCUUGGGGCUGGUUGACAGCACGUAUUACUUUUACAGAGGACCCAAGUUUGGCUCUCAGUCCCCAUGGUGGGGAGCUCACAAUUGCCUGGAACUCCAAUUCCAGAGGAUACAAAUACUUCUGUCGGCUCCUGAGGAUAAUUUCACGCACAUCGACACAUCCACACCCACAGACAUAUACAUAAUUAAAAAUAAAUGUAAUAUUAAAAUAAAUAACUAGAGAAAGAUAGGUGGGUCUUUGUGAGUUUGAAAUCAGCCUGGUCUACAUAGCAAAUUUCAGGCCUCCCAGAGAUAUAUAUUGUGGCCCUAUCUC